UACGAAGGGGGCAAGCGUUGUUCGGAAUUACUGGGCGUAAAGGGUUCGUAGGUGGCCAACUAAGUCAGACGUGAAAUCCCUCGGCUCAACCGGGGAACUGCGUCUGAUACUGGUUGGCUUGAGUGCAGGAGAGGAACGCGGAAUUCCAGGUGUAGCGGUGAAAUGCGUAGAUAUCUGGAGGAACACCGGUGGCGAAGGCGGCGUUCUGGACUGCAACUGACACUGAGGAACGAAAGCCAGGGGAGCAAACGGG
RNAcentral lists this ribosomal RNA (253 nucleotides) under uncultured bacterium. Its description in RNAcentral is "partial 16S ribosomal RNA". It matches the Rfam family "Bacterial small subunit ribosomal RNA", at positions 524 to 776 of the family's 1533-position model. The record is from RNAcentral.